This 208-nucleotide ribosomal RNA is filed under the name uncultured bacterium. RNAcentral describes it as "partial 16S ribosomal RNA". It matches the Rfam family "Bacterial small subunit ribosomal RNA", at positions 568 to 774 of the family's 1533-position model. The record is from RNAcentral.
CGUGCAGGCGGUGUCGUAAGUGGUGCGUGAAAGCGCUCUGGCUCAACCGGGCGAGGCCGUGCCAAACUGCGGGACUGGAGGCAGGUAGAGGCGUGUGGAAUUCCGGGUGUAGUGGUGAAAUGCGUAGAGAUCCGGAGGAACACCAGUGGCGAAGGCGACACGCUGGACCUGACCUGACGCUAAGACGCGAAAGCAUGGGGAGCGAACG